This is a non-coding RNA of Pelobates cultripes (western spadefoot toad), 341 nucleotides long. The record is from the annotation of a GenBank genome assembly. Lineage: Eukaryota; Metazoa; Chordata; Amphibia; Anura; Pelobatidae.
CAGUGACCCCUCCUUAGAAUUCACUCUGAGUAUCUCCCGAGAUGGGAGGGUAUAUAAUUGGUAUGUAAGGUAUGUAUUUGGGAUGUCAGGGGGGGCAGUCUAGGUAGCGUUUGCAGUGAAGCCAUCAAGAUGGGUGGGCCUGUAUGUGAAGUUGGCAUGGCAGACAUCCUCCUGGCCAGCCCCCUUGCUUGCUGGACCAUUCUCUCUGCAUGGUCCUAGUGUCCGCCAUUUAGCACGAGUCCAAUGAUGCCCGACGACAGCUCCCUCCAGGGAACUAAACUUGCGUGUCGGGAAAGAACUCCGAAAUUGGGGCUGUUAGGGGCCCUAAAUUUAAAUUCAGU